CCUACGGGGGGCAGCAGUGGGGAAUAUUGCGCAAUGGGCGAAAGCCUGACGCAGCGACGCCGCGUGAGGGAUGAAGGUCUUCGGAUCGUAAACCUCUUUCAGCAGGGAAGAAGGGUCACUGGGCUAAUCAGCAGUCAAUUGACGGUACCUGCAAAGGAAGCACCGGCUAACUCCGUGCCAGCAGCCGCGGUAAUACGGAGGGUGCGAGCGUUAAUCGGAAUUACUGGGCGUAAAGCGCUCGUAGGCGGUAUGUCAAGUCAAGGGUGAAAUCCCCGGGCUAAACGUGGGAACUGCAUUUGAAACUGGCAGACUGGAGUGUGGGAGAGGCUGGUGGAAUUCCAGGUGUAGGGGUGAAAUCCGUAGAUAUCUGGAGGAACAUCAGUGGCGAAGGCGACUAUCUGGAACAUAACUGACGCUGAGGAGCGAAAGCGUGGGGAGCAAACAGGAUUAGAUACCCCUGUAGUC
RNAcentral lists this ribosomal RNA (465 nucleotides) under uncultured bacterium. RNAcentral's name for it is "partial 16S ribosomal RNA". It matches the Rfam family "Bacterial small subunit ribosomal RNA", at positions 338 to 795 of the family's 1533-position model. The record is from RNAcentral.